RNAcentral lists this unclassified non-coding RNA (409 nucleotides) under Hevea brasiliensis (rubber tree). The record is from RNAcentral. Lineage: Eukaryota; Viridiplantae; Streptophyta; Magnoliopsida; Malpighiales; Euphorbiaceae.
AAGCCAAAAAAAAAAAAAAGAAAAUUCAAUAGGUUAAGACCUUAUUAGAUCCAUCAACCCAAUGAAACAAAAGAACCGAAUUUCACAAGAGGUAAAAAAGCAAAAAAGCUUUCAACCUUUUCUUCCUUUGUACUUUUGAACAUUUCCUCAGGAAAGGAAUAUAACAAUAAACAAAGAUCAUAAUCGAAAUAAGAGUAUUUCCAGUUUCAAUUAACAACGAGUUAUUCUUCCUUGGUACCUCCUCCUAAAGCGCAGCAUUCUCAAAUCUCUCUCAUCAACGAAUUUCCAAAAGUCUACUAAAAUCAAAAAAUAAUCCGGUAAAUGACCAAAAACAAUAAUCAUGAUGGGCUAUAAACGCGGAAUUGAUGCUUAUAAGAGACGAUCAACCCUCAAAAAAAAAAAAAAAAAA